GCUCGCACUUAGCGUCGUGCGCUGGAGCUGCGCGGGCUUUCGUGGCCCUCGGGUAGCAGUUCCACCGCCGCGUGGCCACAGUGACCCCUCCCCUGGGAGGAGCCCUGUUGCCCCCCCCCCCUGGGCGGUUGCGGAUGAAGCUGCUGUCAAUGGCCACGUGGAGGCUCACUUAGACCUUAGCUGUCACAGGCCCUUCCUGAUAGUCUUGAGCCUUUAGAAGCCGGCCAGAAGGUAAUGAGUAGCCACAGUGGCCAGCUGUGAGGAGCCUGGCCAUCGGCCCUGAGCUGGGUGACCGUGAGUGUCCAGGCCACCCUUUGAGCUUCAGCCCCCUCUUUUGUGGAACUGGUUCCUUCACUUUAGUGGGCAAGAGGAAGGGUGGCUGCUUGGUCCUGGGGGAGCACGGCCAGCAGCGUCCUCAUGGAGCUCCACAGCUAGCUGGUGGGUGACAAAAGGCCCCGUGACAGCCAAGCCCCUCCCCUCAGGCACUCUGAUUCCAGAGCUUGUGGCUUUCUGAGACCCCCCCAGCUCUCCCUUCCACUGGCUGCUCUUUGUGAGGAUUCUCCUGUCCAGGACCCCAGUGAGCAGCCAGCAACCUGGCACUUCACCACCCAGCCAAUGACGGUCACCUCACCACGGUGGAAAAAUCCCACUACACCAAGAAUGAACUUUCUUAAACUGAGGACCAAAGUGACGAUGGGCCACUGUGAGUUCAUUGGUUGUAACAAAAGCAUCCACAGAUAUGCUAUCCAUAGCAGGGAAGGCGGGGUGGCCAGGGACGCGGGGGGAAUCUCCACCUUCUGCUUGAUUUUGCUGUGGACCUAAAACUGCUGGAAGAAACAAACAAGAAGUCUAUAAAAAAUUCCUCCCCCCAGAUGUCCUGGUGACUAGCCAAAGGGGAGGGCAGGGCAUGGGGAAACACCUCUGCCCAGGUGGGGAAUCUUCCAGUGCUGCCCCUGUGCGGUCACCUUCCACUAGGAAGGCAAGAGGCGCUCUGCAGGGGCUUUGUGCCCCUGCAGAAAGCCAGCAAAGUAAAAACCCUCCGCUGAGGGGUGGAGAGAGGGUUAGGUGGCUGCUCUGACUUUCUCAGGGAACCAAACGUGACUUAGAACGCCUGGCGUGUGUGACGGCCUUCCCAGCCAUCCCACGUGGACCCCGGGAACACUGUGGCUGAGUUUUAAAACAUCCCCUUUGCAUGUGGGAACCAGUCAAUUUAGUCAAAGGAAACUCAUGACCAUCUUUAAAUACACAGCAGGAAGCCAGUGGAUUGCAACUCUGAGGGCCAGAACAGAACAGAGGUUGGAGCCUAUUUUUGAGAUGCAUUGUAACUGCUAGAAAGAGCAGUUACGGUGGAGUCCAGCCAGCAGCAAGGUGUCCUUCUGACGAAGGUGCUUCUGGGCUUUCAGCCAGGCCCAGGGCUGGCAUCUUCUCACCCAUCCACUGCUGGUCUCCUGUGCUGACAGUGGUAGCGCUGGGAAGCGAGGCCUUCUCCUGUCGGGCUCCCCAUGGGGACUGUCAUGCUGGGGAGGGCUUUGAAGCUGCAGAAAAUGCUUAGCAGAUACAACACUGUCGAAGAGUCAGGAAGAGGUGUUUGAGGGACAUUGUCUCCCAAUUGCCAGGUCAAUACAGGUUUCUCAGUUAAAUUCAAAUUUCAAAUAAACAAUGAACAUAGAUGCAGA
This 1676-nucleotide long non-coding RNA is filed under the name Ictidomys tridecemlineatus (thirteen-lined ground squirrel). Its description in RNAcentral is "lncRNA (ENSSTOG00000030056.1)". The record is from RNAcentral. Lineage: Eukaryota; Metazoa; Chordata; Mammalia; Rodentia; Sciuridae.